This 253-nucleotide ribosomal RNA is filed under the name uncultured bacterium. Its description in RNAcentral is "partial 16S ribosomal RNA". It matches the Rfam family "Bacterial small subunit ribosomal RNA", at positions 524 to 776 of the family's 1533-position model. The record is from RNAcentral.
GACGGAAGGUGCAAGCGUUGCUCGGAAUCACUGGGCGUAAAGGGUGCGUAGGCGGCUUGGUGGGUCUGGUGUGAAAGCCCCGGGCUCAGCCUGGGAAGGGCGCUAGAAACUGCCGAGCUCGAGUGCCGGAGGGGAGAGUGGAAUUCCUGGUGUAGCGGUGAAAUGCGUAGAUAUCAGGAGGAAUACCGGUGGCGAAAGCGACUCUCUGGACGGCAACUGACGCUGAGGCACGAAAGCGUGGGGAGCGAACAGG